RNAcentral lists this long non-coding RNA (19528 nucleotides) under Citrus maxima (pomelo). RNAcentral's name for it is "long non-coding RNA (CMAX_LNC003046)". The record is from RNAcentral. Lineage: Eukaryota; Viridiplantae; Streptophyta; Magnoliopsida; Sapindales; Rutaceae.
ACUGUUGAAUCAAGAGUACAGCAGGAUGGUAAAGUUGUUACGAGUCGUGGACCUGGCACUACUAUGGAGUUUGCUGUUGCACUUGUUGAGCAGUUGUAUGGGAAAGAGAGAGCUGAUGAAGUUUCUGGGCCACUGGUAGUAACUUUUAUAGAUAAUGUUGCUUAAAAAAAUUGUGAGUCAUAUAAUUUGUGGAAAUUCAUUCUAAUAGGUAUGUCAACUUGGAAGGUUCAGAUGCUAAUGUAUUCCAAAAAAUUAGUUCAGGGGAAAAGUAUGACUUUUUGCAUUAGAGAUUCAUUAGAUGAAGUUGUAUACCUGCUGGCCCAUCUUAAUGUGGUGAAAACGAUGACUGCUAAGACUGAUAUAAUUAUCGGAAUCUUGAUAAAUGCAUUUGUUGAGCUUCAAUGUCUCCACUGAUCACAUUCUUUUUAAUGUAAGUUCUUUCUCUUGGUAUUUGUCUUUGAAUUUUCUCUUCCUCAUGCUUUCGUCUUCACUGUCACCUUGUGCCUAGGUAAUGCGUGCAAAUCAUGGAGAUGAAUACACUAUUGCUGAAUUCAAUCCAAUUCAGUGGACAUUUGACAAUUCUCCCCAGGUGAGAUUGGACUUCUAGUUUCUUGUAUUUGUUUUCCUUCAUCUGAUGUUUUCAGGGAUACCCAUUUGGCAGUAUAUAAAAAUCUGUGAUAUCUUCUAUACAUAUACAUAUACAUCAUUGGCUUCAGUCAUUUGUGAACAUAUUGGAGGUAGUAGAUGUAUUUUUAUGGUAUCUCUAAUAAAAUCCCAAGUUUGAUCAAUUACAAAAGAAGUAUGAGCGGUGCUGGACCGGGUUGGGGGGAAGUGGGGGGUCAGUGUGGUGGGCGUGUGCGGUGCAUGAAUAAAGGAAAUGAUAGGGGGUAAAAGUUUGUGCUACCGACAUGCUGUCAAAUGGGGAUACAAUAUUUCAAAUUAGAGAUUGUGAGAUCCUUAAUAUUGCUGACUUGUGCUUAAAAUGGAAUUCUUGAUAACUUCAAAUGUUAAAUUUCUUGGUGAAAUUUUGUACUUUCUUUUCUUUCAGAUUCUUGUGCCUAUUGCAAAUGGUUCGGAGGAGAUGGAAGCUGUUAUGAUAAUUGAUAUUCUGCGACGAGCUAAAGCAAAUGUUGUAGUUGCAUCAGUUGAGGAUAAACUAGAAAUUCUGGCUUCUCGUCAAAUUAAAUUAGUGGCAGAUGUGCUCAUUGAUGAGGCAGCUAAACUGUCGUAUGAUUUAAUUGUCUUGCCAGUGAGUUGGGGUGCAUACACUUGCUUCAUAGUCUUUACCACAUUAUUGACUUACUAACUACAAUUUAUCCAUGCACAUUGCACAGGGUGGACUUGGUGGCGCUCAAGCAUUUGCGAAGUCAGAUAAAUUGGUGAAUAUGCUAAAGAAGCAAAAGGAAUCAAAUAGACCUUAUGGUGCUAUAUGUGCAUCCCCAGCUUUAGUGUUGGAGCCCCAUGGCUUACUCAAGGUACGACCGUUUCUGCUUAAAUUAUUUACUCAGAUUUGGAUCACCCAAUCUGAACUUGAUGAAGGAUUAUGAUGUUGUGUGAUUUUAUGAAUGUGGUCGUAUCUCAUGUAAGUCAGUGAUGAAUUAAUUGGAGUUUGCUGACAAAUUAGAAACUGAAAAACUGCUGCUGCUUCAUUAGUUACAUUACCCAAAGAGUUAAAAUAAACAUCCCAAAUUUUGUCCCAAAUUCUGUCCCAAAUGAUAUGGCAUUUAUUGAGUGAUUGUAUUAUCUAACCAACCAAUUGAUGAAUGUCACAUAAUUUGAGAUGGUUUUUUGGGAUAAAGAAUUUGGGAUUUUUACCCGCAAAAAUCCCAAGUACUUCCUGCUCCUGCAAUAUCAUUGCUGUGUAUUUGCUUUCCCCUUAGACAUAUUCAAUUGUGGUUCAGGGUAAAAAAGCUACAGCUUUUCCUGCUAUGUGCAACAAGCUGUCAGAUCAGAGUGAAAUCGAAAACAGGGUUGUGGUUGAUGGCAACCUCAUCACCAGUAGAGGGCCAGGAACUUCUAUGGAGUUUGCACUGGCAAUUGUGGAGAAGUUUUUGGGCCGCAACAAGGCACUUGAGCUUGCAAAGAUAAUGCUUUUCACUCGCGCCUAACGUUUGUAUGGGGACCUGUCUACUAUUAAACUAGUGUGUUUAUUUCUGUAUUGCUACUGCUUGUAGAGAGGGGAAAUGGAAACUUGAAUUCAUGUUUGAAUAUGGAUUCACUGUGUGGGUUUGUACAGCAGUUUGGUUUAUAAAUAAAUGAGUUCAUGGAGUCACUUCAAAUAUUCGGAAUAAACCUGAGUUUAGAUCUGUUAUCAAUGGUCGGAGUCCAAUUGCGAUCGACUCACUGGGAAUUUUAAUUAUGAAUCAUGUUAUAUUCCACCUUUCUCAUAAAAUGUUAACUCGAUUUACAGGAUAAGAAGGAAAAGAAAGACGCUAAGAGAGGAGCAGACACCCAAAAAGAGUUGACCACUUUGUUGGAACAUAAAUCUCUAGAAUAUUGAAAUAAAACACAUACCAUAUCUAGUAUCAAGUAUGUAUGUGCAAGAAGAUACAAAUUUGAAGAUCAGAUUUCUCAUUUCAAUUUAUGUUCUGCUUAGAGCAAUGGCUCUUAUUCCACAAGCACAAGCAGGAAAGAGUACGCACGAAGUUAAGAAACACACAUUGCAAAAGUUGCAUUAACUACUUGCGGCAACAUCAUCCAAGAACUUGACUUUAAUCUUCUUGAGCUUCGCUGCAGCAUCUGUCAUAUGCAUUCUCUUGUCAGGUGACUCCAUACAACAAUCCAAUGCCAAAUCCAUGAUGCUUAAUAAACAAUCCAUUUUGGCAGAAAAAGCUUGCUCUUCUCGCACCAAAUUUGCGUCAACAACUUCACUCAAUCUGUGAGGUAAUGACUCCUUCACCCAUCUCCUUAAACUCAUUUCUUCUGUGAACAUUUGAUCGGUGGGCCUCUUUCUCGUGAAAGUUUCCAUCAAUAACACACCAUAGCUGUAGACAUCACAUUUGGCUGAAACAAUUCCUUCUAAUCCAUACUCUGCAUUUUUUAAUUUUAAUUAUGAAACAAAUGAUAAAACAAAUAAUUUUUUUGAUAAUUAAGGUAACCCAAACUUUGCUCGUGCUUGAAAAAAGAGCAAAAAUUUUAAUUACAAUUGAAACUUUACCUGGUGCCAUAUAACCAAUUGUAGCCAUUGUCAUGGUUUGUGUCACACAAUCUUCUCCUUCACCUAAGAGUUUGGAAAUGCCGAAGUCGCACACAUGUGCCAUCAUAUUUUCAUCCAAGAGAAUGUUGGUGGGCUUCAAAUCACAAUGAAUUAUAGGUGCCGACGAAUGACCAUGAUGGAGAUAUUCAAGAGCCGACCCCACAUCUAUCAUUAUAUUCAACCUCUCUAGAAUGUCUAAGAAAUAAUUGUAAGAAUACAACCACUUCUCGAGACUACCAUUUGGCAUGAACUCAAGUACCAAUGCUUUGAAAUCUGGAUUAGAACAACUGCUAAGGAUCUUUAUGAGAUUUCGAUGACGAACAUUCCGUAAAACUUCACAUUCAGAAUCAAAACUCCUAAAUGCUCUCUCUAGUUGCAGAUUGAAAAUCUUUAUUGCAACAUUAGUCCCGUCGGAAAUGGUUCCUUUAUAAACUGAUCCAAAACUACCUGUACCCAGCAAGUUACAUUCAUUAAAUUCAUCAGUUGCUCGUUGAAUGUCAAGGUAGGAUGUUCUUCUCCAUGUUGCAAGAGGUAGGAAAUCUUCGUGAUCUGAUUUUUUUGUACUCCUCUUUCGGCAUCUUAUGUACAUAAUGAUGAUAAUCACUAUAAGUACAGAGGAUACUAUCGGAGGCAAAAUAUAUUUAAGGACAAUUAGAGCAACGUUCUUGGUGCUUUUGCUGUCACCUUGUUUGCAAGGUGGGACUCGGAGUUUAGGUGGACCACAGAGUGCAUAAUUUCCGAAAAAUGAUUCAGUUGACAAGUUUUUAAAAGACCCCUUAACAGGAAUUUCCCCUUCUAGCCUAUUAUGAGACACAUUAAAUUGUUUGAGAUGUGACAAUAUCUCCAAUGACUUAGGAAUUUUUCCAGAGAGAUUGUUGCCGGAGAGAUCUAAGGAUUCUAAGCUUAUCAAACUGCCAACUGAUUCAGGAAUAGGUCCCUGAAAUUGAUUACGAGCCAAGGAUAGAGUUUCUAGAUCUAUGAGGGCACCAAUGGUUGAUGGAAUAUCACCUAAUAAUUGAUUCCUUGAUAAAUCUAAAACUGUCAAGACCUUUAACUUUUGUACAUUGGAAGGGAGAGGACCAUUUAAUGAAUUAGACGACAAGUUUAUCUCUAAGAUGUACUCAAGGCUCCACAAGGAUGACGGUAUACUAGAAGUGAGCUUGUUGGAGCCUAAGCGGAGUUCUCUUAGAGAUGUCAAACUCGCCAAGCAUGGCGGUAUAUGUCCAGAGAGCUUAUUUCCAUUUAACCUUAUUCCGUAUAUCAACUCCAAGUGGCAAAGAUCAUAGGGAAUGGAUCCUUCCAAAUUAUUUUCUUCAAGAGAUAAACCUUGUAGCCGCUUAAGUCUUCCCAUCGUUGGUGAAAUAGUUCCAUUCAAGUCAUUGAAGCCGAGGCUUAAGAGGAUCAGGCCACGCAACUUACCAAUUUCUUUAGGAAUGCUGCCCCCGAGUUUGCAGUUGGAUGCAUAAAAUUGUCGAAGAGAAGCAGAGAAAUUUCCAAUCACUGGUGGAAGGAUGCCACCCAAUGGAUUAUAAGCUAAGGCUAAAAAUGUUAAAUUUCUGCAAUUAGUCAGAGAAGAGAGAAAACUCCACUGAUCUGCUGAAGAUGAUUCUGUCGUCAAGUUAUUAAAUGCUAAGCUGAGCACGUCGAGGUGUCUCAAGUUGCCAAAUGUAUUUGGAAUAUGGCCCGAGAAUGAGUUGAAGCCCAAGUCUAGGGCAACGAGUUUAGUAGCAUUGGUGAUAGAGUGGGGAAUUAUCCCUAUAAGAUUAUUGGCCGACAAGGCUAAAUACUCUAUGUUCGGAAGCGAGUGGCCAAUCGUUGACGGUAAGCGGCCUGAGAGUUGAUUGCCCCCCAGAGUAAGGAUUCUCAUGGUUGAAAUGUUGAAGAUCGUGGGUGGAAUGAGGCCACUUAAAUUGUUGUCAGCAAAAACAAGAACCUCCAAAUUUUCCAGAUUGCCAAUCUCGGUUGGAAUUUGACCUGCCAUCAGGCCAACAUUGAGGAGUCAUUGAGCUUUUAGCUUAAGGUAAAUUGAGUUUGACAAUGUUACCCUUGAAAAUGUAAAAGGAUCAAAUUAAUUUUAUUACACAAUAAUUUCAGCCAAUAAUGUUCUUUACACAAUAAUUCUGCAAAAUAUGCAUGCAAAUGGAAAAAUAUGCUUCAAUUACAAGAGGUGGUGGAGCGUACCUCGAAGAUUGCUGAAGCUAAGAUCCAGAUACACGAGUUUACUCAAAUUUCCAAUCCUUGAAGGAAUAUUUCCACCAAUAGUAUUGAACUCUGCACGCAGCGUCUCUAGCCUUGAUAAGUUGAAGAGAGAAUUAGGGAUGGGACCUGUGAAACUGUUAUUAUAAAGUCUCAAUAUUCGGAGUUUAGAUAAGACACCAAUCCAUGAUGGAAAGCUUCCGCUCAAUUUAUUGUAAGCGAAACUCACGACUCUGAGUCGACGUAAUUGCCCCAAUUCUUUCGGCAGAUGGCCAUGAAAAUUGUUCUCACUAAUGUCAAGAGACACUAGAAAUGAGAGAUUUCCCAAGUGUAGUGGAAUGGUGCCUCCGAGACCCAUAUCUGAAAGAUUCAAGGCAGUGACUCGUUGAUGGCGUGAACCACAAGAGAUACCAACCCAGCUACAUAUUGGAUAAGAUAUAGACCAAUUAUUUGCCAGGGCACUCCGAUAAUCAAGAAUGUGGGCUUUGAAUGCCAGAAGAGCUGAUUGAUCUGUUGUUAAAUCGUUUAAAGUCGUCACAGCUAAGCUAGCAAUGAGAUACUGUAACACUAACACCGACAUAGGAACAAAGAAGAAUGAUAAGCGCAUAUUGGUCGUUUUUAGUAGUAGUUGCAAGGCGAGAUUGAUACAAGUUUUAAGUAAAGGAAAUUAGCAUAUACUUAUAAUGAGACAUAUGAAUUUGAAAAUAAGAGCAGAAAAAAUAUACAGGAGACUUGCAAAUUGUUAUAUUCUGUCAUUGAGCGAGCCGUCCAAGUAAACGCAUUUACACUUGAACCCUAAAUAAAGGCCUUAUGGCACUUUAAUUGCCAUAAGGAAGAAGAUGCUCAACAUUGCCAAAAGUGUUUUUCUUGAAGUCUCGUCUUCCGUAAUGUUUGUAAAAUCGAGGUUUUACCAUCUCUAAUUAAAUAUUUACUCUUGAUUUAGACCACGUAAUCUAAACUUGACGAAAAAUUAUGAUCUUAUGUGAUUUUAUGAAUGUGGUCUUAUCUCUUAUAAGUCGGCAAUGAAUUAAUUAAAGCUUGCUGACAAAUUACAAGCUCAAAAAUAUCUUUUACUUAUUCACAAUCUUAUUUCAUUUUUUUAUAACAUAAUAUUAAAAAUUUGUCUAUUAAAUUAAUUUAAUAAUUUUUUUAAUAAAAAAUCUCAUUGACGACCAAACAACUAAUUUUUUUUUUAUAAAAGCUUUGCUUGUUAAAAUUAUGCUGAAAAAAACUCUACUUAAGUAAGUUCUAUUUUUUUUAUAAAAGCCAUUUUAUUUCUUUAUCUUUUUUAAUUAUUAUUGGAAAAGUAGCGCAGCUUAUCAAAAAAGGAAAGAAAAAAAAAAGUCAAAGUGACGAGUGGCUUGUUUUUUAAUUUCAAAGUCAAUGCAAAGUAAAAGUACCGAAAUAAUCAGUUUUUAAAUCCAAAUAAGUGGCAAUAAAGGGAGGUCUUGUUAGGGGUGUUCGCGGAUCGAAUUUUAUGGAUUGGACAUCAAUCCAUAUUCGAUCCACGAUUUUACGGAUUAUAAAAUUUCAAUCCAAUUCAAUCCACGGAUUUGUAAAAUUCAAUCCAAAUCCAAUCCAUAAAUCUGCGGAUCAGAUGCAAAUUUGACCUAAUCCAUAUCCAAUCUACAAUUUUGCGGAUUGGUUUGUGGACUGAAAAUUUUUAAUUCUGUCAAAUCCACGAACUAACUAAAUAAAAAAAUUUAAUAUAAAAAUAAUUUUACUACGGAUCAAAUUUAAAAUUAAAUAAGAUUUAAAUAAAUAAAUUGCUUAAAUAAAGCUAGCAAAUACAUUUAAAGUUUCAAAAUAUAACACACCAAAAUGAAAAAAAUAUCAUUCGUUUUAGAUCAAGGAAAUUAACUAUUUAGUAAACUAUAUUUGUUUAUUUAAUUAUUUUUUAUUUUUUAUUAUUAUCGGAUAUGAUAUAAUAUAAUGUUAAUGUAACUAUAUUUUAACUUAUUUAUUUACUAGUAAGUACUAAUAACAUAUUUACAAGUUUUAUUUUUAAUUAAAUAAAUACUUUUUAUUUUUUUGCGGAUUCGCGGAUUUUUACCGAUUUACAGAAGUAGAUCCAUAUCCAAUCCACUGAUUGCGGAUUAUCAAAUUUUCAAUUCAAUCCAAUCCACCAAUCCACGGAUCAGACGGAUUGAGCAGAUCGAAUUAGAUUAUGAACACCCUUAGGUUUUGGUGUGCAUUGUUGAAAACUUGGAAGUCUAUAUGACCAUUUAACCAAACUAUAGGGGUAUAACUGUCACAAAUUUUUAAAAAUAAAUUUUACCAAACAUUUAAAUGAUUUUUUUUUCACAAUUGAUUAUUAAAUUCUAAGUGUUAGACUAUUGUAAGAAUACAAAUAAUUGACAUGGACAUAAUAUUAAAUAAAAUUUACUUAUAUAUAUAUAUAUAUAUAUAUAUAUAUAUAUAUAUAUAUAUUAUUGUUUGUAUAUAAAAAUUGCUAACUAAAAAAUAUUUAUAUUUUAUCAAUUUUAUUUCUUUUAUUUUUUUAUCUCAAGAUAAAUAUAAUAAUAACAAUCUCUCUAAAUUUAAUUAUUUUUGCUCUUUAUUGAAUAAGGAUAAUUUUGAGUUUCUGUAAUAUAUGUGAGGAUAUAUAUAAAAUUGUAUUAAAUAUAUAACUAUUCUCAAAAUUAAAUUUUAAAAAACUAGUUCAUUCUCACUUUUCAUUUAAUUAGGCAAAUGGCCACAGAAAUUGUUCUCCCUCAUAUCCAAAUAAACUGAAAACGAGAGAUUUCGUAAGUGUGGAGGGAUGAUGCCUUCGAAACCCAUCACUGAAAGAUUCAAGUUUGUGACUCUAUGGUAUGAGCACCACAACAUAUGCCAAUUCGACUGCAUAUUGAGUAAGACAUGGACCAAUUAUUCAAGAGAUUCAUGAGCCUUCGAAGUGAGAAAUAAAGCAAAUUAUGUGGUGGUCGUGGGUCAAUUGACUACGUUUCGUGAUCUACGUGCGAUUGCAACAGUCGGUUCAUUAAGUGAAAUUAAUGACUCGUCCACUAUAGUAAGAUACUGUCCUCAUUAGGUUGGUGCUGGGUCAAUUUUAUCCAUGAGUCAACUUACAUUAAUUUGAAUUAAUUUAUAAGAGUAUCUCAUUUUCGUUGAUUACGAGUUGUGAUCGAUGACAUGCACGAAAGCAGUCAAUUUACAGGUCAUUCACUAUAUAUAUGGGGUCUAUGGGUGGAUGGAUCUAACGUAAAUUAAGGGUUGAUGAUGACCCUCGACUUCUAACGACGACCAUCGAAGACGACCUUGACUUUACAUGCAAACACACAAUUCGCUCUCAUACAUUAUGUUUUAAAAUUUCUCCAUUUUCCGGGGCCCCGCUGUCGACCGUACACAGUUUAAUUUGUAUAUACAAGACCUCAUUGUUUCUAGCAAGCAUAGAGCCAUAGACCAUAUUAAUUCCAAUUACAUAAAUCUUCAUUUUUAUCAUGAUUUUGGAUCUCGAGCAGUGUGGAUAUAUCCAACCAGAUCCGCCUCACUGGCAUCCCAAUAUAUUUUAGAAUUGAGUAAUGAGUAUCAAUAAAUGUGUAAUUGUAAAUCUACAACGUUUAAUUUUAAUUUGAGGACUCAAAUGAAUUUAUCCAACAAUACCUCGUUAAAUUAAUAUUCCAUAAAUUUUUAACUUUAAUUAAAUAACAAAUUUUGUCCGUCCCAACUUAGGAUUAACGUGGUAAUUAAUAAUUUGAUAAAUUGUUAGAUAAUAAUUUUUUAAAAAAAUCUUAUUUUUUUAUUGGAUCAAACUGAUAUAUAAAUGAAUAAUUAAUUAAUUUUAAAACUAAAUUCAUGUUAUGUCAAUCAAAUGUUAUUGCAAAGAAGACUAGCAGCGACGCUUUGAAAGGUACACCAAAGCCUUUUGCACCUUCUCCUCCGUGACCACCAAUAGAUACUUCCACCAUUUCAACGUCAUGACAUGAUGUAAGUUUCUUUUGUAGAAUUUGCGAAUUGGUAAUCUUUUACACGCGUAUAUUUAUAUCAUUGUAUAGUUAUAGAUUCAAUUACUUUUAUGAUGCAUUUAUUAAUUUGGAAUUGAAGUAGACAAGAAUGGGCUGUAAUGUGAAUGGAGAAUCGAAAUUAGAAUAAGUUAUUUACUUGAACUGUAGAAAUCGAAAUGAGUUGGAUUGUCAUUAAUGUGUUUACUUUGUCUUGGAAUCAGAAUUGAAAUAAGUUAGUUUAUAACAAAUUACUAAAAACUACUUAAUGAACUAUUGUUAUAAUUAUUAUUUUGUAUUUUAAUUAUUAUGAUUAUUUAUUAAAAAUUAUUAUUGUUAUUAUUACUUAUUGUUAAUAGUAUAUUAAUAUAUUAAUAAAUUAUAAUAAUAUAUUAAAUAACUAUAAUAUAUUAAAAAAUAUACUUGUAUUUACAAGAAAUGACUGAUAAAAUUUCUAAAAUCGUCUUCCUCCCUAAAACUCUUAAUGCCACAGCCCUAAAAAUUAAAAAGAUUUGGGAAUUAUAUGUCUUUUUUAAAAUAUUAAAGGGUGUUUAUUUCCUUAAACGGUGGGGACUAAAAGUCCUAUUCCCAAACGAGUAGUGUGCCGGCGUUGGAGGCUAGAAAGACAAUUUGUUACAUUGCUUCAGAAGUGCUUAAUGGAAAUUUUGGUGAGGCAUCACAUAAUUUAAAGGAUCAGGCUACGGUGCAACUGUGGUACCGUACUACAGUUGCAUCCAGCCGUUUUAAUUCACUUAUAUUGGUGAGGUUCACUGGCAUCCAACGGCUGAAUGCAACUAUGGCACGGUACCACAGUUGCACCACAAGUUUCCCCUAAUUUAAAUUACUGGAAUUUGCAUCAAUGGUUUUUAUUGGUUUAUUUACUCGUCAACAAAUUACUGUAACUGCAGAAAACAGUGUAACACAUUGUAUAAUACGUUAAUACGUUAUAUUGGUCAGUGCUCCUACCAAGGAAAUCUUUUUAAGUUUUGUUAGCAGAAUAUUCUUGUAAGGGUGGAGGCAUAAGAGAUUAAUAAUUUAAUAUCUCUUGUUCAUUAGAAGAUUUUUUUUUUUUGGGAAAAAAAAAGAAGAAGAUGGUUUGUUUAAUGUUGAUAAAUUUUGAAGUACAAUUUUAUAGAUGUCGAAUGUGGGCAAAAAGUAAAGAAGCUCAAACACUUUUCUACAUCUAAACUAAUCAUUAGGAUUUAUAUUAACUAAUAAACCCUAAUAAUACGAGCGUUCAUAAAAACUUCAUAUGAACAUUGAACCAGCAUGGCAUCAUAUUGUAAUAAGUUGUACAGCUGUCAAUCUCUUAUUAGUCAGAUAUAUUCUGAGUUAGUUACAUGAAUGUAGUAUAAAUAUCAUACUCUGUACACAUUCUUAGUUAGUUACUUCAGUAGAAUUUUCUCUCCUCUACUCAAUUUUUAAGUUAUCUUUUAUAUUGGGGGCAAAUGAUAUUUUAUUAACGAAAUGAUUUUGCCCUCUUAAUAAGCUCUCAUUUCUCCGCUUUGAUCAACACAGCCUUCUUUUAUUACAUCAAAAUUCUUCCUCUUUCCAUCAAAAUUUCAUGGAUCUGCCCUUACGUAAAAUCAUAUGAGAGUAUAUAAUAAAAUUAAUUAGGUAUGUUUGGAACAUUUUUGGUAUCCUUAAGCUGAUUUUAUUUUUAUUUUUUUAUAGUAUAUAUUGUCAAAAGUAAAUGCUAUAAACACUUUCGGAAAAAAAGAUGAAGAGCACCUUUGGAGUAAUUUUUUCUAUAGGAACUAACAAAACAACUAAAUGAUGUAUGUAUCUCUAAGAUUUAUUAUUAUUAAUUUUUUUUUCUGUAGUUGACAAAGCAUCAUGAUUGUGUUGGAUGAUAAGAUUAAAGGUGGGAAUGGUCCGAAUGGACCAAUUUUUUAGGAUAAAAAAAAAAAUGAUUCAAUCCUGGGCAUGUUUGGCUAUCGAAACUAGUUGAUUAGUCUAAAGUUUAAUUCAAAAGUAAUGGGACUAUUAAUCCUUAGGAAAAUUAUCAUUUGUAUACUCUAUAGAUGCUCUGUUAUAUAAAAAAUUACAACACUUUGAGAGUGUAUCAAUCGUCCACCCUAAGUUGACAAAAUAUAUCUGCCGUCCAUCAAACCGUUACUUGCUGUUUAAAUAGGAUAGCGCCAGAGGGGUAAUUUGGUCUUUUCAUAUGAUACAAGUGAUAAUUCAAGGGUAUACAAGUGAUAAUAAAAGAAUUUAAAGGUAUACAAGUGAUACUUUUCAAGGGUAAAAUCAUCAAUUCGCUAUAAUUCCGUUAACUUUCAAACGACAGCUAACGGUUUAGUGGUCGGCAGAUAACUUUUUUCAAUUUAGGGUGGACGAUUGAUACACCCUCAAAGUGUUAUAGUAUUUUUUAUAAUAGAACAUCUAUAGGGUAUACGAAUGAUAAUAUCCCUAAUCAAUCCUUAAUUCAACUUAGGUUUAAGUAGUAUAUAAAAAAUCUUCUUUAUCACUCUUUUCAUUUUUAUUUAGAUUAAAAUUCAUAUAAAUAAAUAUAAAGAAUUAAUUUCAUAAUUUAUUUAAACUAAAAUUUUAUAUUAUAUUAAAUAUCCAAAUUUUAAUUCAAUAAUUUAUUUAUAUUAGAAUUUUAUGCAAUAUUAAAUCCCAAAACUUUAUUUAAUAAUUUAUUUACAAAAAUAUUAAUAUCAAAUUCAACAAUUAGUAAUAUAAUUUAAAAUAAUUACACUAUUUUAAUAGUUAUUUAGCUAUAUUAAAUUAAAUUUAACAUAUCCUUGUCCGAUACUAUACUAAACAAACGAUAGUACCUUAUAUAGUAUAGUCAAUCUAUUAUAAUAUAAUUCAAUCUAAUCGAACGUGCCAAAUCAGUACAUUUUAAAAAAUAAUUUUAUAACAGCUUUAAAAAAGCAUUUUUUAAGUUACUUUUACAAAAUGUGCUUUCUCCGAAAGCACUCGUGAAAUGCAAAUUCUCACAAAACACGUGGUGUGUUCAAUUGGGCCUCCGCCCAUUAAAACUACAACCAUGAAAGCAAGCAAUGUUCAUUGGGCUUUAUUCUCUCGAGAAAACUUAUACACGUAGCCCACCACCGGCGCCCUAAUUUGUCUCCACCUCUCUAAAUAGAGUUGGACUAUUGGCACCUUUCCAAAAUUCUUCUGAAAUUCCUUUUUCAAUAAUAUUAAGUUUAAUGCUAAAAAUAUCCUUAUUUCCAAAUAAAUACAUUUAAUUUGUGAAUAUUUUAAUUUUCUAUUAUUUUCUCGCUCCUCACAAACAAAUUUUUAUGGGCGAUAAACUUCUUGAUAAAAAUCAAUUAAUUAAAUAAAAUAUCUAUAAGAUUAUAAUGUAAAAAAUUUUAUUAUGAGUCUUAAAAAAAGACAGAUAAAUUUAUCAGAAUGUGUUUUGUUUAUUAUCAAUAGAUUAUUUUAGUAAUUAAAGAAAAAUUUAUAGAGAAUUUGAGAAAAAAAAUUACGUGUGAGUUUGAUAGCAAAGAAAAUAUAAGAGUUUUUUUUUAAGAGAGAAAAUACAAAAGUUUGAAGUGAGAUAAAAUAGAUAUAAGAUAUAUUAGAGUAUUUAUCCUUAAAUUUAAUUGUAACAAAAGAGAGGUUUUAAAAAGAUUUUGGAGGAGUGUCUCCAACUCCUCUAAAUAUUAUUGAUUGAUGCAUAUGUUUCACAGCAUAGAGUGGCUUACAUUGGAGCUUUUCUAAAAAAAUGAAAAUUUCAUUUAAUUAUUUAUUAUUCACGGAUAAGAAAUUAACUUCUUCUUUUUUCUAACGCCACAGUCUGGUGAGCUUGCCUAGUGUGUUUUAGUUGGAUAAAAAUUUUAGCAAAUGCUUCUUGGCAAGGAAGCUUAAAUAGUUUAACCUGAAUUUAACCUCGAAUGAACCCAAAUUAUUAAACCGAACCAAUCCGAAUUGUGAAUCUGAAUUUCAGUUCGAUUCAGUUUGGUUCAGGUUCGUAUUUUCAACUCGAACAAGUUUAAUGCUCCAAUUCGAUCAGGUUGUAACCUAAACCGAAACUCGAAAACCCGAACUGAAACUCAAUUUGGCCACCCCUAAUGAGAACUGAGAAGUACCUGGAUCGUAAAAGAAAGGUUUUGAUGAUAAUUUUGGCUAAAAAUCUGUUUCUUAACUUCUAUUUUUAUUUUUUUAUGCUGUAUUUUAGUUGCUGAAUAGGUUAUAUAUAGAAGUUCAGUUAAUUUUGUUUUGGAUGAAAAAUCAAUGAGUACUUCUGUGAUUAAUAAGUGAAAUUUUGUUUGCAUCAUAUAGUCAGCUAUAAUGCAUUGGAUGGCUUUGACUCAGCAUGGAAGAAAUGCUCUCCGGCAGAUUACUAAAGAGAGCUCUGAUCGCGUGUUGCAUCACCCAUUGCUAUUUUCUUGUCAAGGAGUCAGAUACAGACGAUUGGAAGUGAUUCUAACAACAAUGAGUAAAUUGAUCUUUUGUUUUCCCUUUUCACCAGUUUGGAUCUCUUGACUAAUCAGCCUGUUUGAGUUUUAACUUGUGUAUUAAUGAUUGGUUUUAUAUGUUCAGAAAGUUGACAAGCUUGGUAAAGCCGGUGAAACUGUGAAGGUUGCUCCGGGGUAUUUCCGGAACCACUUGAUGCCCAAAUUGCUUGUUGUUCCAAAUAUCGAGAAGUUGGCUCAUCUCAUUAGAGAGCAGCGCAGGUAUUUGUUUUUCAUGAUUCUUCUCGGUUGAACUUUUUUUGUUUGGGUUGAGAAUGGUUAAUUCUAGUGAUACAGAAAUUUGCUCAUUUUCUUUAGAUACUUUGUUUAGCCAGUUUGUCAAUUAAUUUGACUCAUGGCUUCAAAUUAUUGCUAAAUUCUCAGUUUGGAAAUAUUUGUGAUUUUUGAAGGGGCAUUACAAGUUAUUAAAGUUUGUUGUGCCUGUGACUUAUUUUCAUCAGAUUUGCCAGCCUGAGGAAGAGGAAGAGGAAGAGGAAGAGGAAGAGGUUAGAGUUAUCCGGAAGUCUGAGGACAAUAUGAGUAGAGAAUUUGAGAAGGCAGCUAGGCGCCUAGAGAAUGCUCGACUGGUUUGUGGCCUAUCUUUUAAUUUCUUCAGAUUCGGGACAAAUUGUCUUGGAGUGAACUGAUGUGUUGCCUUUUCCUUUUUUUUUAGCUUGAAUGAUCUAUUUGCUACAGUUAGGAGUGAACGUCGUAAUGAAUUUUAAAUUAUACUGUUUGUUUCGAUUUACUUUUCUAUCUUAGCUCCAUCAAGUGAUUAGUGGAAUGCUGGUCCUGUGAGUAUAAAAUGAAACUCCUUAAGUUAAAUUCCUUAGGCUGUGUUUAUUUUCUGUAGUGGGAGCGAGGAGUGUAAAUUCUUUUCAUUUCAGUAUUUAUUUCAACAAAUUGGCUCCGGAUUGAGAAUCCCACUCAGUAGACCCCACCCAUUUUUGGAGUGAGAUUCCCAUGGGGAGAGGUGGGAGUGAGAUUCCCACUCCCACCUCUCCCUUUUUUUACAUUUUUUUUAAUUUAAUUUAAUUUAACUUAAUUUAAUAUUUAAUAAAAUAAAAUAAAUAAUAUCAUAUUUAUUUGAAUAAUAUUAUUAUAUUUAUUUUAAAAAUAAUAAUACUAUAUUUAUUUAAUAUUAAUAAUUAAUAAUAAUAAAUAGUUUAUUCUAAGAAAAUAUUAAUUUUGUCCUAAAUAAUAUUAUAUUAUUAUUUUAUAUAAUAAUAAAUUUAAUAUAAUUAUAUUAAAUAAAAUAAAAUAAUGUUUCAUUUUAUAUUUACCCUUCUUUUUUACCCUCUUUUUAUUAAAUUUACUAUAAUUAUAUUUAAUAAAUAUUUAAAUAAUAUUAUAUUUAUUUAAAUAAUAUUAAUAUAUUUAACUAAAUAAUAAUUUGGUUUGAUUCUAAGUCUAAAUUACUUAAAAAUAAUAUUAUUAUAUUAAUACAGAAUUAAUAAUAUUACUUUUAUACCAUCUUUAUUUGAAAAUAUAUUAUUAUUAUUAUUAUAUUUAUUUAAAAAUAUUAGUAUUAUAUUUAUUUAAUAUUAAUAAUUAAUACUAAUAAAUAGUUUAUUCUAAGAAAAUAUUAAUUUCAUACUAUGUUAAUAGUAAAAUAUUUCAUUUAUAUUGCCCUUAUCAAUAAUUUUUAAUUUAUAUAAUUAAAAUUAAAAUUAAUAAAAAAAUGUGAUGUUCAUAAUUAAGAAUAUUAAUAAUUAUUAUAAAUUUACAAAUAUAAAUGUUUAUUCAUUAAAUAUAUUUUUUAUUAACUUUGUAAUUAAAAACUAUAAUUCUUUAAAUAAGGAUAAAAUUGUAAUUUGAAACUAUUUACUCCCAAUCCGAGACAAACUAAACACAUAAAUUGAAUUCUGAUCUCCAUUCCAUGCUUUCAUUUUAGUGUAAGUAAACAACAUACUCCCACUCCCAAUCCUAAGAUUCCCACUCCAAUUCAAAAAGUAAACGCUACCUAAAUACAAGUAAUCUUGCUUUCAGAUAUGAAUUAUCUGAUGGAUGUUGUAUUUUCAAGGUAUUGAGGAGAUUCCCCAAUAUUGAAAAAUUGCGUUCCCGUGCAUCAAAAGAUGAUCCCAUAGAAUUGCGUUCACCUGUGACAAAAGAGGAGCUUGUAGUUGAGGUAUGGAUUUUUAUAUUUCUUGGUUGUUUUUAUACUUGUUUCUCAUCAUAAUAGCAAAAGCAGUUUGUUCUGAGUGAUCUGUGUGGUCUCCUAUCAAUGACUGCCGUUUCUAUCAUUUAGUACUAUUGACUAUGUGUGUAUAAAUAUUUUGUUUUUACCAUGUAAUUUCAUAUUCGAUGCAUUUCUAAUACAUUGCAUAGCGUCCAUGAAUGGGAAUGAUAAAAUAAAUUUCAAGCGUGUUUCAAUAGAUGAAAAAACUUGGAACGAUUUAGAAGGAUUUGCUGAUUAAAUAAUUUUCCAAUUUGUUUGCUUGGAGGAAUUGAAUAGUUAACUGAUUAAAGGAUUUCAAGGUGGUUCGGUCCCGCUGGGCAUUGUCAAUAUCAACGGUCAUUAAUUCCUAUUAUCUGAAAUUGAAUUUCCAGUGUGGCAUGGUAACUUUCUGCUAGGGUGUGAUUGUAUAGUAGCCAAUUGUGAGCAACAGAUCCGCAUAGUAAUAUAGAUUGAAAUUUUGCAUCUUAAUCCAUGAAGAUAUAGAUUUUGGCAAUAUUAUACAAGCACUGGGGAUUACCUUAAAUAUUCUGGACUUGUCAUUGAUAGAGUUUCUUUUACCUAGUUAUUGAUAUUUCUUUCAAUUUUCUAUUUUACUCAUACAAUUUAUACAAUUUUAGGUGGCAAGACAACUUUCGUUUUCUAUUGAGCCUGAAAACCUGCAUCUACCAUCACCUCUAUCUGCUUUUCGAGAAUAUGAGGUUCCUAUGCGCUUACCCAAAGCCAUCCCCCUACCGGAAGGAAAGGUCCAAUGGAUUCUCAAUGUUAAAGUCCGCGGCAAAUAAAUAUUUUUUAGUUAAUUUUUUAAUCAAUAAAAAAAGGUAAUUAAAAAUGUAAUUAAUAAAUUACUUAUUAGCAAAUUAAAAAACAAAUAUUAGCAUAAAAUAAUUGAUAUUUCAUUCUCUUACAACAAUCUUACCAAUUAUUAUUUAUAAAUUAAUUAAUGCAAGUUAAUUUAAAGUAAUGUUUAAUAUUCUUGUAACAACCUUACUAAUAAUUUUUUGAUAAAAAAAUUAAUUUAUUAAAUUAAUCCUAGAAGUAAAAUAAUAAUAAUUAAUUUGUAUUUUAUUUUUAAGAUUAAUUUGAUAAAUUUAAUUUUUUUUAACUAAUAUCUCCAAGAAUAUAGUUGUAACGAUAUUAUUACAAAAGGAAAAAAAAUAUAAGAUUAUAAUAUAUUUACCAGUAAGAAUAAUUUAAAAUAUUUUUUAAGAUAUAAAAAUUAAACGGACACUUAAUUAAAAAAAAAAAAAAAAAACUAAAUAAGUAGUUAGCUUUUAACAUUUCAACCUAGUGGUCAUACAAUCAUGGUGCGGCCCGGGAUGGCUGGCCCAGCCCAUCAUGUAAAAAUCCAUGUCACCCUCAUUCUUAAGCUGCUACUCUGCCACUUGCCACGGAGCUCCCCACAUCAUACCGUACCGAUGCCUCUAGAAAGCUAACUUUAAAAAAAUGGUAUUAAUAAGCGUACGCCACGUCACUCCUCACUCUCUUCUUCGUCACUUUCCUCUCACUCAACAUUUUCUCCCCAAACAAAUUCCUUCUUUGAAAAAUCGCAUUUUCUCCUUCACAGCAACCGCUACAAUGUCUUCAACUUCCAAGAAGGUAAUUUUUUUAAAUUUUAUUUUUUGUUUAGUUUCUUUCUGUUGCCUUUUUGUUUCGUUUUUUGAAUUUUCUGUGUCGUUUUUUUUUUCCCAAGGUUUUGGUGCCUGUUGCGAACGGGAGUGAGCCGAUUGAAGCCGUGAUAACGAUCGAUGUUUUGAGAAGGUCUGGAGCUGACGUCACGGUUGCGUCUGUGGAUAAACAGCUUCGUGUCGACGCGUGUCAUGGUGUCAAGAUUGUCGCUGAUGCUCUCGUGUCUGACUGCCGCGACGCUGUUUCUGAUCUUAUAGCUCUGCCCGUAUGUAUUGCAGCUCACCUCAGCUCAUGCUAAUUUAUGUGAUGUUUGUAUAAUUAUAGAUGAUUACUGCUGAUACUGAAUGUUAAAGCUAAAUAAUUCGUUCUUAAGUCAUCUUCAUUUAAUUUUCGAUUGAAAAUGAAAAAAAAAAUAAUUUUAAGCAAAGAAAAUGUUUAUUUUGUUUUAUUUUUAUUUUUAAAUUUUUGGGAUUUCCUUAUUGUGACUGUUGUCAUUCAUUAUAUGGUCCUAGUUAAAUGUUUCAAGUUGUUGUAGUCUGUGAAACUCUUUUCGAUAUUUGUUCUGGCAUGUACAUUUUUCCUUUCAAUUUAUUUUGUUGCUGAUACUUUGAUUAUGAUAUAUCCUUUUUUGUUUCCCUUGUAGGGUGGCAUGCCCGGUGCUACCAAUCUGAAAGAAUCUGAAGUAUUAGAAACCAUUGUGAAGAAGCAGGCUUCAGCUGGGCGUCUUUAUGCUGCUGUCUGUGCUUCACCUGCUGUGGCAUUAGGGUCUUGGGGUCUGUUGAAGGGAUUGAAGGUAAGAAUUAGAUAAGCCUUUUUUUAUGUUUGGUGUUCUUUUGGGAAUUGCAUUGAUAUUUGUGUUAUACAUCAGUUUUGCUCUCACCGAUGAUUGUUAAGUUCUAAUUUAUGGGGUUAUUCAUUUUUUGUAGGCUACUUGUUACCCGUCAUUUAUGGAGCAAUUAGCUCCUGCUUGUGCAGCAACUGUUGAAUCAAGAGUACAGCAGGAUGGUAAAGUUGUUACGAGUCGUGGACCUGGCACUACUAUGGAGUUUGCCAUUGCACUUGUCGAGCAGUUGUAUGGGAAAGAGAGAGCUGAUGAAGUUUCUGGGCCACUGGUAGUAACUUUUAUAGAUAAUGUUGUUUAAAAAAAUUGUGAGUUAUAUAAUUUGUGGAAAUUCAUUCUAAUAGGUUCAUCUAGUAUGUCAAAUUGGAAGGUUCAGAUGCUAAUAUAUUCCAAAAAAUUUGUUCAGGGGAAAAGUAUGACUUUUUGCAUUAGAGAUUCAUUAGAUGAAGUUGUAUACCUGCUGGCCCAUCUUAAUGUGGUGAAAACGAUGUCUGAUGAGACUGAUAUAAUUAUUGGAAUCUUGAUAAAUGCAUUUGUUGAGCUUGAAUGUCUCCACUGAUCACGUUCUUUUUAAUGUAAGUUCUUUCUCUUGGUAUUUGUCUUUGAAUCUUCUCUUCCUCAUGCUUUCGUCUUCACUGUCACCUUGUGCCUAGGUAAUGCGUGCAAAUCAUGGAGAUGAAUACACUAUUGCUGAAUUCAAUCCAAUUCAGUGGACAUUUGACAAUUCUCCCCAAGUAAGAUUUGACUUCUAGUUUCUUGUAGUUGUUUUUCUUCAUCCGAUGUUUUCAGGGAUACCCAUUUGGCAGUAUAUAAAAGUCUGUGAUAUCUUCUAUACAUAUACAUCAUUGGCUUCAGUCAUUUUCGAACAUAUUGGAGGUAGUAGAUGUAUUUUUAUGAUAUCUCUAAUAAAAUCCCAAGUUUGAUCAAUUACAAAAGAAGUAUGAGCGGUGCUGGACCGGGGGGGAAGAAGAAGUGGGGGGUCGGUGUGGUGGGGGUGUGCAGUGCAUGAAUAAAAGGAAAUGAUAGGGGGUGAAAGUUUGUGCUACCGACAUGCUGUAAAAUGGGGACAUAAUAUUUCAAAUUAGAUAUUGUGUGAUCCUUAAUAUUGCUGACUUUUGCUUAAAAUGGAAUUCUUGA